Long non-coding RNA from Magallana angulata, 371 nucleotides. RefSeq lists it as uncharacterized. NCBI's taxonomy places the organism in Eukaryota, Metazoa, Mollusca, Bivalvia, Ostreida, Ostreidae. The record is from RefSeq and is a predicted model, not a curated record. The transcript is spliced from 3 exons.
UGUUUUGCUGGUUACUGUUAAAGAAAAUUGAUGGAAAAGGAAGUUUUGGUGGUUUGAAGAAUGAGACAAGAGGUUUUAAUAAAACUGGAGAUGGGAAAAAAGAUGUAUCUCCUUUCAAAGGUACUUGCACGAGGAAAAAAACAGAACAGAUAUCAACAACUACUAUCACACCAGAAUCUAUCCUAACUGAAAAAGACAUUGUGAAUUAUGUUUGCAACGAGUGUAAACGAUUGGAUCCAACAUUUCUUCAAUGUGACGGAAUAUGUCCAGACAUUGAUUCUGGGACAGUUUUCGCUGAUAGUUUGCUGCCUUAAGGAGAUCCAUUUUGUUAUUUUUGUGAAAAUUAUCGCAUCAACAAGAAUGAUUAUAAG